Molecule: ribosomal RNA, 253 nt
Filed under: Methylobacteriaceae bacterium
Lineage: Bacteria; Pseudomonadati; Pseudomonadota; Alphaproteobacteria; Hyphomicrobiales; Methylobacteriaceae
Also listed under: 2 other names
Description: partial 16S ribosomal RNA
Rfam family: Bacterial small subunit ribosomal RNA
Source: RNAcentral
UACGAAGGGGGCUAGCGUUGCUCGGAAUCACUGGGCGUAAAGGGCGCGUAGGCGGCCAUUCAAGUCAGAGGUGAAAGCCCAAGGCUCAACCUUGGAACUGCCUUUGAUACUGUUUGGCUUGAGACCGGUAGAGGUAAGUGGAACUGCGAGUGUAGAGGUGAAAUUCGUAGAUAUUCGCAAGAACACCAGUGGCGAAGGCGGCUUACUGGACCGGUUCUGACGCUGAGGCGCGAAAGCGUGGGGAGCAAACAGG